GUCGCCAAGAAAGCUUGGAUACUUUGCUCUGAUGCAGGCUGAUCGGAAAUGAAAAUGCACGUUCUGAGGCUCACUUUCACCCCCCCCCCCCAGGAAAAGUCCCUUUUUCCUAAAUUUAUACAAACAAACCAGCGAAGAAUAACAAAUUGAUAAACGGAACGUACGUUUUAGGCUUUAUCCUUGGUCCUUGUUUAACAAAAUCGAUUUAAAGGACUGUGUCACCGCGUGCGCAUCCUACGUGUUUCUAACACUAAGUAAUGAUAAAUUAUUGUUAAUAUUUUUAAAAUUCUUUGUGUGUUUUUUCCUUUUUUUAUUUCAAAUAGAAGUAUAGUUAGGAUAAAUUCUAGAAAAUUUAGAUGCUCAGACGGCAGCACAUGGGAUUUUUGGGCUUGAAAUUUCAAAAAUUUUCUGGGGAGUUAAUGCCCCCAGACCCCCUAUUCAUUCGCGGUAUGUCGGCCACACACGUGACCCACGGCCAUUGCUAUCCCCUUUAAUAAUAAGUAAUGGAUAAAUUAUUGUUAAAGGUGAUCGAUAUACAGUCCGUAUGUAAACAAAGUCUUUGUUUACAUUUUUGUGUCCAAAAUAUUGAGCUUUAUUCGACAACUAUUUAUAUUUUCAAGCUUCUAGAGUAUAAUAAAUUAUCUAGAAAUUUUCAAGCUUCUAGAGUAUAAUAAAAGUGUCAUAAAAAGUGGGCUCAUUUGUGCACAUGCGCAGAUCGGACUGUAGAUCACCUUUAAUAUUUCUUUUAUUUUUUCUGCAUUUUUUCCUUCUUUUAUUUCAAAUACAAGUAUAAUUAGCAUAAAUUUUAGAGCAAAUUUAGACGCUCAUAAAGCAGAAAAUGGUAUUUGAAAGGUUCAAAUUUAAAACAUUUUCUGGGGGAGUAUGUCGGCCACACACCGUGGCCGUCGGCCAUUGCUAUCCCCCUCUAAUAUAUUAUCUAAAAUCCCUUUUCAAAAAAUACCCCCCACGGGAAAAUCCUUAAAAAAGGCCCUGUUGUCCUGUAUUUCGGUCUCGGAACUGUCGUAUGUCGUCACGGUAUAAGUUAACUGUGUAGUUCGUAUAUUUGCCUAGCCACAUGUUGUGAUUGAGGCUAUGUGAGGAUUGUAAGUUUAUCACCUAGUACUAUUUUAAGUAGAUGCAGUUCGUGAGUUAGGUUUUGUGCAUGCUCGCAGGGUUUUGAAAGCAAACGAUGCCGUGAAAUAUGUGAAGCCUAUGGUUUGUGUCAUGUAUCUAACUAUCUAGGUAGAAUACCUAAAAGUAGAUGUUGUACAAACUACAAAGUUGUGGUUUAUA
Non-coding RNA from Paramuricea clavata, 1293 nucleotides. NCBI's taxonomy places the organism in Eukaryota, Metazoa, Cnidaria, Anthozoa, Malacalcyonacea, Plexauridae. The record is from the annotation of a GenBank genome assembly.